UUGGUGCCACUUCAACGUUCCCGCAACAUGCUUGAAGGAGGAUACAGGGCAGAGCUGUAUAGAGUUAAGAAGGCAUUUGAUGAAGCAGAAACUUUAUAUUCGGAGGCCAUCAACAUACUGAAGUCCUCAUUUAGUCCUGAAGAUAUACGGUAUGUCAUAAGUAUAUUUGAUUAAUGUAAUAGCAAAAUUCUACA
Mangifera indica (mango) is the source of this 194-nucleotide long non-coding RNA. RefSeq lists it as uncharacterized. The transcript has 2 exons. The record is from RefSeq and is a predicted model, not a curated record. Lineage: Eukaryota; Viridiplantae; Streptophyta; Magnoliopsida; Sapindales; Anacardiaceae.